Molecule: ribosomal RNA, 468 nt
Filed under: uncultured bacterium
Lineage: Bacteria
Description: partial 16S ribosomal RNA
Rfam family: Bacterial small subunit ribosomal RNA
Source: RNAcentral
GACGAACGCUGGCGGCGUGCUUAACACAUGCAAGUCGAACGGAAAGGCCCUGCUUUUGUGGGGUGCUCGAGUGGCGAACGGGUGAGUAACACGUGAGUAACCUGCCCUUGACUUUGGGAUAACUUCAGGAAACUGGGGCUAAUAUCGGAUAGGAUAUCCUGCUGCAUGGUGGGCGUUGGAAAGUUUCGGCGGUUGGGGAUGGACUAGCGGCUUAUCAGCUUGUUGGUGGGGUAGUUGCUGACCAAGGCUUUGACGGGUAGCCGGCCUGGGAGGGUGGCCGGCGACAUUGGGACUGAGAGAGGGACCAGACUCGUACGGGAGGCAAAAGUGGGGAGUAUUACACAGUGAGCGGGAGCCUGAUGCAGAGGCGCCGCGUGCGGAAUGACGGCCUUCGGGUUAUAAACAGCUUUCGCCUGUGACGAAGCGUGAGUGACGGUAAUGGGUAAAGAAGCACCGGCUAACUACGUG